RNAcentral lists this ribosomal RNA (468 nucleotides) under uncultured bacterium. Its description in RNAcentral is "partial 16S ribosomal RNA". It matches the Rfam family "Bacterial small subunit ribosomal RNA", at positions 28 to 507 of the family's 1533-position model. The record is from RNAcentral.
GACGAACGCUGGCGGCGUGCUUAACACAUGCAAGUCGAACGGAAAGGCCCUGCUUUUGUGGGGUGCUCGAGUGGCGAACGGGUGAGUAACACGUGAGUAACCUGCCCUUGACUUUGGGAUAACUUCAGGAAACUGGGGCUAAUACCGGAUAGGAGCUCCUGCUGCAUGGUGGGGGUUGGAAAGUUUCGGCGGUUGGGGAUGGACUCGCGGCUUAUCAGCUUGUUGGUGGGGUAGUGGCUUACCAAGGCUUUGACGGGUAGCCGGCCUGAGAGGGUGACCGGCCACAUUGGGACUGAGAUACGGCCCAGACUCCUACGGGAGGCAGCAGUGGGGAAUAUUGCACAAUGGGCGGAAGCCUGAUGCAGCAACGCCGCGUGCGGGAUGGCGGCCUUCGGGUUGUAAACCGCUUCCGCCUGUGACGAAGCGUGAGUGACGGUAAUGGGUAAAGAAGCACCGGCUAACUACGUG